UAGCGGAACUCCUACGGGAGGCAGCAGUGGGGAAUAUUGCACGAUGGGCGGAAGCCUGAUGCAGCGACGCCGCGUGGGGGAUGACGGCCUUCGGGUUGUAAACCACUUUCAGCAGGGAAGAAGCUUUUUGUGACGGUACCUGCAGAAGAAGCGCCGGCUAACUACGUGCCAGCAGCCGCGGUAAUACGUAGGGCGCGAGCGUUAUCCGGAAUUAUUGGGCGUAAAGAGCUCGUAGGCGGUUUGUCGCGUCUGCUGUGGAAGCCCGGGGCUUAACCCCGGGUGUGCAGUGGGUACGGGCAGACUAGAGUGCAGUAGGGGAGACUGGAAUUCCUGGUGUAGCGGUGAAAUGCGCAGAUAUCAGGAGGAACACCGAUGGCGAAGGCAGGUCUCUGGGCUGUUACUGACGCUGAGGAGCGAAAGCAUGGGGAGCGAACAGGAUUAGAAACCCUAGUAGUCCACUUAUG
RNAcentral lists this ribosomal RNA (464 nucleotides) under uncultured bacterium. RNAcentral describes it as "bacterial SSU rRNA". It matches the Rfam family "Bacterial small subunit ribosomal RNA", at positions 328 to 803 of the family's 1533-position model. The record is from RNAcentral.